GCGUGACAAUCGGUCUGCGCGGGCGCAGUGGCGGCAGCCGCUGCACCCGCGUGGCUAGAAGCCCACGGUCUGCAGGCGAGUUGAGGUUUCAGGUCAUUCCAGCUUCGGCCGUGGGGCCCCGCUCAGACGCGCGCCUGUCUCCUGGUGAAAUCCUGGAGGCUAUCCUUUCCACCGUCCUGUCUGCACGAGGAGGACACGGGGGUCAGCUUCCUGGGAGAAGGGAGUCGUCCGGAUGGCUGGUCCCCGGAGGGGUGACUUACUGCAUGAACAUCGAAAUCAGAUGAACCCUGACGGCGACAGCGAUGGUGCACGGGCCCCUCACCCCGAUACCCAGGACCCAGAGAGGAUCGGCUGGAAGUGAUGGACACGAAACCACCGCCCCCCGCCCCGGAUAAAGUGGCAGGAGCAGCGACACGAGGAGGUGCUGCUCUAAGAACCAGGAAGAAGUGGUCUUCUCCCCAAGCCCUUGGAUAAUAACACUGUAGCCCACCCGAUGCUUGGCAGAGCCUCCUUGCCUGCCCGCUCGCAUCUCUCACAAGCCUCCUGUUUUAGUAAGUCCACUUCUUGUCUAUCACUUGGUCUCUCGCUGAUCUUCUGCACAAAAAACCUGAGCCUCAGUAAGUCCAGACACGGGCUGAGUGGUCUUAAUUUAAAAACCAUAGGUUCAAGCCCCCAUCUGGGUUCUGUCUGGGUUCAGGUGUUGUCAGUUUCAGGGGUAGUGGAGAGAAAGAGGUUUGCUUGUUUUUUUUGUUUGUUUUUUGUUUUUUAAUGGCUGCAACCCCAACAUAUGGAGGUUCCCAGGCUAGGGGUCUAGUUCGAGCUGUCGCCACUGGCCUACACCACAGCAA
Molecule: long non-coding RNA, 848 nt
Filed under: Sus scrofa (pig)
Lineage: Eukaryota; Metazoa; Chordata; Mammalia; Artiodactyla; Suidae
Description: lncRNA (ENSSSCG00030060072.1)
Source: RNAcentral